CUCGCCAUGUCAGUGAUCGACGCUCUGGCGUUUGAUUUAGCAGGUCUAGUAUGGACCUGUAAAUGAAUGCAGAGGGCAGCUCUGGCUGGCGCCUAUACUCCUUGGCAGUUGAGAGGAGUAAGGGAUGCUGACCGAAGUGUUUACUCCUGUCGGCCUUCUGCAGUGGGAACGACGCCAAGCUCAGCUUAAGGAUGUGACAGCAUCUUCUAGCCAUUGGAGAUGAAAGCAACAUGUGCAUGUUACAUUUUCUGAGAGAUAAGCAUCACCUAAUAAUCCAAGAUACUACUUAACUAUGGACUGAACUGACCGGUUAUGGAAAGCUCUGCUAGAUGCUGCCCUGACACUAUACAAAGGAAUCUAAUUAAGAAAGGCAGAAUCCUCAUGAAGACAAUCCAUUAAUGAAUAUUGUUGUCAUCCAUGGAAAUUGACUCUCAGUGAAUUUGAGUGCUAGUCCAGCUCUUGUGGACAUCAAUGGGAGGCUCUUCAAUGGAUUUGAGGAAGGUACUUAACUGGCGGUGCUAGAAAAA
Non-coding RNA from Pelodiscus sinensis (Chinese soft-shelled turtle), 527 nucleotides. The record is from RefSeq and is a predicted model, not a curated record. NCBI's taxonomy places the organism in Eukaryota, Metazoa, Chordata, Testudines, Trionychidae.